GACGAACGCUGGCGGCGUGCUUAACACAUGCAAGUCGAACGGAAAGGCCCUGCUUUUGUGGGGUGCUCGAGUGGCGAACGGGUGAGUAACACGUGAGUAACCUGCUCUUGACUUUGGGAUAACUUCAGGAAACUGGGGCUAAUACCGGAUAGGAGCUCCUGCUGCAUGGUGGGGGUUGGAAAGUUUCGGCGGUUGGGGAUGGACUCGCGGCUUAUCAGCUUGUUGGUGGGGUAGUGGCUUACCAAGGCUUUGACGGGUAGCCGGCCUGAGAGGGUGACCGGCGACAUUGGGACUGAGGUACGGCCCAGACGCCUACGGGAGGCAGCAGUGGGGAGUAUUGCGCAAUGGGCGGAAGCCUGAUGCAGCAACGCCGCGUGCGGGAUGACGGCCUUCGGGUUGUAAACCGCUUUCGCCUGUGACGAAGGGUGAGUGACGGUAAUGGGUAAAGAAGCACCGGCUAACUACGUG
RNAcentral lists this ribosomal RNA (468 nucleotides) under uncultured bacterium. RNAcentral's name for it is "partial 16S ribosomal RNA". It matches the Rfam family "Bacterial small subunit ribosomal RNA", at positions 28 to 507 of the family's 1533-position model. The record is from RNAcentral.